Ornithorhynchus anatinus (platypus) is the source of this 70-nucleotide non-coding RNA. NCBI's taxonomy places the organism in Eukaryota, Metazoa, Chordata, Mammalia, Monotremata, Ornithorhynchidae. The record is from Rfam.
GGCAGCGUAGCUCAGUGGAAAGAGCACAGGCUUGAGAGUCAGGUCAUGGGUUCUAAUCCCGGCUCUGCCA